UACGUAGGGCGCAAGCGUUGUCCGGAAUUAUUGGGCGUAAAGAGCUCGUAGGUGGCUUGUCGCGUCUGCCGUGAAAGCCCGUGGCUUAACUACGGGUCUGCGGUGGAUACGGGCAGGCUAGAGGCUGGUAGGGGCAAGCGGAAUUCCUGGUGUAGCGGUGAAAUGCGCAGAUAUCGGGAAGAACACCCGUGGCGAAGGCGGCUCUCUGGGACGGUACUGACGCUGAGACGCGAAAGCGUGGGGAGCGAACAGG
This 253-nucleotide ribosomal RNA is filed under the name uncultured bacterium. RNAcentral describes it as "partial 16S ribosomal RNA". It matches the Rfam family "Bacterial small subunit ribosomal RNA", at positions 524 to 776 of the family's 1533-position model. The record is from RNAcentral.